AGAGUUUGAUCCUGGCUCAGGAUGAACGCUGGCGGUCUGCUUAACACAUGCAAGUCGAACGGGACUCUUCGGAGUUCAGUGGCGGACGGGUGAGUAACGCGUGAGAAUCUGGCUUCAGGUUCGGGACAACAGUUGGAAACGGCUGCUAAUACCGGAUGUGCCUUAUGGUGAAAGAUUUAUCACCUGAAGAUGAGCUCGCGUCUGAUUAGCUAGUAGGUGUGGUAAGAGCGCACCUAGGCGACGAUCAGUAGCUGGUCUGAGAGGAUGAUCAGCCACACUGGGACUGAGACACGGCCUAGACUCCUACGGGAGGCAGCAGUGGGGAAUUUUCCGCAAUGGGCGAAAGCCUGACGGAGCAAUACCGCGUGAGGGAGGAAGGCUCUUGGGUUGUAAACCUCUUUUCUCAGGGAAGAAUGAUGACGGUACCUGAGGAAUCAGCAUCGGCUAACUCCGUGCCAGCAGCCGCGGUAAGACGGAGGAUGCAAGCGUUAUCCGGAAUGAUUGGGCGUAAAGCGUCCGCAGGUGGCAGUUCAAGUCUGCUGUCAAAGACCGGGGCUUAACUUCGGAAAGGCAGUGGAAACUGAACAGCUAGAGUAUGGUAGGGGCAGAGGGAAUUCCUGGUGUAGCGGUGAAAUGCGUAGAGAUCAGGAAGAACAUCGGUGGCGAAGGCGCUCUGCUGGACCAUAACUGACACUCAGGGACGAAAGCUAGGGGAGCGAAUGGGAUUAGAUACCCCCGUAGUCC
RNAcentral lists this ribosomal RNA (744 nucleotides) under uncultured cyanobacterium. Its description in RNAcentral is "bacterial SSU rRNA". It matches the Rfam family "Bacterial small subunit ribosomal RNA", at positions 8 to 796 of the family's 1533-position model. Lineage: Bacteria; Bacillati; Cyanobacteriota. The record is from RNAcentral.